Molecule: ribosomal RNA, 1470 nt
Filed under: Gloeosoma sp. CO966
Lineage: Eukaryota; Metazoa; Arthropoda; Insecta; Coleoptera; Corylophidae
Description: SSU rRNA
Rfam family: Eukaryotic small subunit ribosomal RNA
Source: RNAcentral
UACCACAUCCAAGGAAGGCAGCAGGCGCGCAAAUUACCCACUCCCGGCACGGGGAGGUAGUGACGAAAAAUAACGAUACGGGACUCAUCCGAGGCCCCGUAAUCGGAAUGAGUACACUUUAAAUCCUUUAACAAGGAUCUAUUGGAGGGCAAGUCUGGUGCCAGCAGCCGCGGUAAUUCCAGUUCCAAUAGCGUAUAUUAAAGUUGUUGCGGUUAAAAAGCUCGUAGUCGAAUUUGUGUCGCGCGCCGCUGGUUCAUCGUUCGCGGUGUUAACUGGCGUGCCGCGGGACGUCCUGCCGGUGGACUUAGCUCGUCAGAGCGGUCCAAUUUAAUCUUGCCACGGUGCUCUUCAUCGAGUGUCGAGGUGGGCCGGCACGUUUACUUUGAACAAAUUAGAGUGCUUAAAGCAGGCUAAAAUUUUGCCUAAAUAUUGUGUGCAUGGAAUAAUGGAAUAGGACCUCGGUUCUAUUUUGUUGGUUUUCGGAACCCCGAGGUAAUGAUUAAUAGGAACGGAUGGGGGCAUUCGUAUUGCGACGUUAGAGGUGAAAUUCUUGGAUCGUCGCAAGACGGACAGAAGCGAAAGCAUUUGCCAAAAACGCUUUCAUUGAUCAAGAACGAAAGUUAGAGGUUCGAAGGCGAUCAGAUACCGCCCUAGUUCUAACCAUAAACGAUGCCAGCUAGCGAUCCGCCGACGUUCCUCCGAUGACUCGGCGGGCAGCUUCCGGGAAACCAAAGCUUUUGGGUUCCGGGGGAAGUAUGGUUGCAAAGCUGAAACUUAAAGGAAUUGACGGAAGGGCACCACCAGGAGUGGAGCCUGCGGCUUAAUUUGACUCAACACGGGAAACCUCAUCAGGCCCAGACACCGGAAGGAUUGACAGAUUGAGAGCUCUUUCUUGAUUCGGUGGGUGGUGGUGCAUGGCCGUUCUUAGUUGGUGGAGCGAUUUGUCUGGUUAAUUCCGAUAACGAACGAGACUCUAGCCUGCUAAAUAGGCGCUAUAGACAUCUUAAAGGCCCGUUUUGUCCAAAGUUCGCUUUGUGGCUAACGCGGUUUUUACUGUCUGCGUUGAUUAUAAUCUUCUUAGAGGGACAGGCGACUUUUAGCCGCACGAGAUUGAGCAAUAACAGGUCUGGAUGCCCUUAGAUGUUCUGGGCCGCACGCGCGCUACACUGAAGGAAUCAGCGUGUCUUCCCUGGCCGAAUGGUCCGGGUAACCCGCUGAACCUCCUUCGUGCUAGGGAUUGGGGCUUGCAAUUUUUCCCCAUGAACGAGGAAUUCCCAGUAAGCGCGAGUCAUAAGCUCGCGUUGAUUACGUCCCUGCCCUUUGUACACACCGCCCGUCGCUACUACCGAUUGAAUGAUUUAGUGAGGUCUUCGGACUGGUACGCGGUAGCGUUUCGACGUCGCCGAUGUUUGCUGGGAAGAUGACCAAACUUGAUCAUUUAGAGGAAGUAAAAGUCGUAACAAGGUUUCC